This 78-nucleotide microRNA precursor is filed under the name Trichobilharzia regenti. Its description in RNAcentral is "mir-3492 microRNA precursor family". It matches the Rfam family "mir-3492 microRNA precursor family". The record is from Rfam by way of RNAcentral. Lineage: Eukaryota; Metazoa; Platyhelminthes; Trematoda; Strigeidida; Schistosomatidae.
AACCUUUUAUAUCCGUGGUGAGAUUUCGUCAUCAAUCACCCCAUUGGGGCUGAUGCAACUUCCCAGAUAAGUGAAGUG